GCGAAAUCGGGAGCUUACCAGAGAAUUCCUUGGGAUUGUUGGGGGGCAUCUCCCCUCCGCUGCUGUGUGUGGCGUGGCUCUUCCCGGCUACUCCUUGCUUCCCCGAGCCCGAGUCUGCGCCGCCAGCCUUCCUUGGGGCAGCGGCCACCGCUCAGCCCCGGCCGGGAGAUCCGAAAUGUGAGGAGGGGUCGCCGCCGCCUCCCGCCCCAGGCCGCAGGGUCGGCGCGAGGGAUGCUAUUCCGGCCGGGCGCUCGGGGGGCUGAGGGGCUUCGCCUGACAAACUGAGUUGGCCUCGCGCCCCCGGCGCCCUCCCGCCCGUCGCUUCGAAGGGACUCCCAAGUCUGCGCACCUCUGUCAGGCUUUUGCUUCCACCACCCCUUUCGCUCUGAUUCCCGAUUUUUUUUUCCUAAGGGAGCGUGCGGUCUGGGGGUGUGUGCGUGUGUGUGAAAGACCUCUCUCGAAGAGCGGCGUGUGGGAAACUGCGGGAAAAUGUUGACUUAACCCCAGGAGCCGCCCGGCGCUGGCUGCUCGGCUGGAGGCGGCGGCGGCCGAGCAGGAGGACGCGCCGAGCUGCGGCGCCGUGUCCGGCCGGGGAGCUGCGGCGCUGCCUCCCGCGCGGACUCGGCGGCCGAGGACCCGCUCGCGGCCGGCCUCGGCCCUCUCCGGCCGGGGUAGCCGCUGCCCUCCGCGCCUGUCCCCGCGCGGCCCCCACGCCAGACGGCCCUCCCUCGGGGCGCGCUCGCAGACGGAGAUAUGAAGAUCAAUGAUGCAGACUGAUGGUUUUGAUGAAGCUGGGCAUUUAUAACUAGAUUCAUUAAGGAAUAC
Molecule: long non-coding RNA, 825 nt
Filed under: Homo sapiens (human)
Lineage: Eukaryota; Metazoa; Chordata; Mammalia; Primates; Hominidae
Description: HSALNT0009447
Source: RNAcentral